This is a long non-coding RNA of Nymphalis io (European peacock), 363 nucleotides long. RefSeq lists it as uncharacterized. The record is from RefSeq and is a predicted model, not a curated record. NCBI's taxonomy places the organism in Eukaryota, Metazoa, Arthropoda, Insecta, Lepidoptera, Nymphalidae. The transcript is spliced from 3 exons.
CUGCGACAGAAUAUCGAAUUUUCUCACAUUUUGACGAAAAAGUCUUACGGAAAUCAUCAAAAUGCUGGGUCCUUUAGCUCGUUCUUCUAACAAACUUGGAAGGAAUGUUAUGACAAAUUUCAUCAGAAACCACUCUCAUGGUGGAGUCCCUGGCGAGAAUCUGCCAUUUGACAUCUCCAACCGGUACAAGCUGACAGCUUUGUUCAUGGUAUAUGUCGGUUCAGGUCUUUCUGCACCAUUCCUCAUUUGCCGCCAUCAACUUCUCAAGAAGUAAAUAGUAACAUUGCUUUGCAUCGGCUAAAGAAUGUUUUAGGUAUAAGCUAGCAAUCUGUGAAUUAAAUUAUAAUAUAAUGUUAUAAAUUA